AAGCUAGGGGAGCCAAUUGGCUGAGAGGAUAGACUGACCCUUAUACUUGAUCUGGAUAAUGCCAGCGUAGGAAAGCUUUUAUAUAA
This 86-nucleotide non-coding RNA is filed under the name uncultured Romboutsia sp. RNAcentral's name for it is "TPP riboswitch (THI element)". It matches the Rfam family "TPP riboswitch aptamer (THI element)". Rfam says of the family: Vitamin B(1) in its active form thiamin pyrophosphate (TPP) is an essential coenzyme that is synthesised by coupling of pyrimidine and thiazole moieties in bacteria. The previously detected thiamin-regulatory element, thi box was extended, resulting in a new, highly conserved RNA secondary structure, the THI element, which is widely distributed in eubacteria and also occurs in some archaea. The record is from RNAcentral. Lineage: Bacteria; Bacillati; Bacillota; Clostridia; Peptostreptococcales; Peptostreptococcaceae.